RNAcentral lists this non-coding RNA (29 nucleotides) under Nelumbo nucifera (sacred lotus). RNAcentral also lists the same sequence under 118 other names. The record is from RNAcentral. Lineage: Eukaryota; Viridiplantae; Streptophyta; Magnoliopsida; Proteales; Nelumbonaceae.
GUCGGGAUAGCUCAGUUGGUAGAGCAGAG